Molecule: ribozyme, 77 nt
Filed under: Crocodylus porosus (Australian saltwater crocodile)
Lineage: Eukaryota; Metazoa; Chordata; Crocodylia; Crocodylidae
Description: Mammalian CPEB3 ribozyme (ENSCPRG00005011738.1)
Rfam family: Mammalian CPEB3 ribozyme
About the family: The mammalian CPEB3 ribozyme is a self cleaving RNA located in the second intron of the CPEB3 gene which belongs to a family of genes regulating messenger RNA polyadenylation.
Source: Rfam by way of RNAcentral
UGUCGCAAGUUCAAGGCCACAGCAAAAGCACUAAUAGUGCUGCCUUGUCGGAUUCCAAUGAAUCUGUGAAUUCUGCU